UACGUAGGGUGCAAGCGUUAAUCGGAAUUACUGGGCGUAAAGCGCGCGCAGGCGGUGAUGUAAGACAGAUGUGAAAUCCCCGGGCUCAACCUGGGAACUGCAGUUGUGACUGCAUCGCUGGAGUGCGGCAGAGGGGGAUGGAAUUCCGCGUGUAGCAGUGAAAUGCGUAGAUAUGCGGAGGAACACCGAUGGCGAAGGCAAUCCCCUGGGCCUGCACUGACGCUCAUGCACGAAAGCGUGGGGAGCAAACAGG
This 253-nucleotide ribosomal RNA is filed under the name uncultured bacterium. Its description in RNAcentral is "partial 16S ribosomal RNA". It matches the Rfam family "Bacterial small subunit ribosomal RNA", at positions 524 to 776 of the family's 1533-position model. The record is from RNAcentral.